RNAcentral lists this ribosomal RNA (252 nucleotides) under uncultured bacterium. Its description in RNAcentral is "partial 16S ribosomal RNA". It matches the Rfam family "Bacterial small subunit ribosomal RNA", at positions 524 to 776 of the family's 1533-position model. The record is from RNAcentral.
UACGUAGGGGGCAAGCGUUAUCCGGAAUUAUUGGGCGUAAAGAGUACGUAGGUGGCAACCUAAGCGCAGGGUUUAAGGCAAUGGCUCAACCAUUGUUCGCCCUGCGAACUGGGAUGCUUGAGUGCAGAAGAGGAGAGUGGAACUCCAUGUGUAGCGGUGAAAUGCGUAGAUAUAUGGAAGAACACCAGUGGCGAAAGCGGCUCUCUGGUCUGUAACUGACGCUGAGGUUCGAAAGCGUGGGUAGCAAACAGG